AUCAGUCACAUAGGGGGGCUGCACACGGGCGGCUAAAAGAGGAAGGAGACCAUGGACCGAAACAUGACUUCUUCCCAUCCUCAGAAAUGUAAUUGUCCCCAUUUCUAUUUUAAGGAAAAGAAUGGGAAGCCUUCUAUCUGCUCGCAUAAAGAUUAUAUAUCCUUAGCCUAGUGAAGAUGCUAGAGUAUUGGAGGAAGAAUGUGAAGAUCCACGUAGAUGGGUAGUCCCAUAUCAAUUUUGCAAUAGAAAUCUAAAUAUAAUAUCUUUCUAUUAGCUUUUUUGAAUAGGGUCCUAAAUCAUUGUACCAUCUCUUCUACUAAAAGCAAGAAAAAGAUCAAGUGGAUCUAGACUUGGUAAGGCAGGCUCUGAUGCUAAUUUUGUUGGUGACAGAAUGAGGGUUUGGCAAUAUGCUAAUCCUAAACGCCUCUAAUUGUGGACUUGCAUGGCUGUGCAAAAACAAGCCCUCAUUUAAAUAAUGCACACAAAUGAACUCAAGCAAACCGAUACUGUGCCUUCUUUUAUUUUCACCACUGAGUGACACCGCAAACACUAGGUUACAAAUGGUCAAAUAUCCCUCCAUUUAGAGACUACAGGAAUGGACCGUUAGAAGCUACAUUGAAGGAGAUAAUAUAAUUAAACCAUAAAUUAUGAAUAUGGUAAUUUCUAACUUGAAACUUCUCUGCGCUGACUUCAUGGCCAACUUCAUAAGAGCUUCGGCGCCCGAAGACGCAGGCCAUUUGACAGAUCAUUUCGAAGUCGAGGCCACCGCCGGAGGUGCCUCUGAU
This 785-nucleotide long non-coding RNA is filed under the name Elaeis guineensis (African oil palm). RNAcentral's name for it is "long non-coding RNA (EGUI_LNC022381)". The record is from RNAcentral. Lineage: Eukaryota; Viridiplantae; Streptophyta; Magnoliopsida; Arecales; Arecaceae.